This is a long non-coding RNA of Cavia porcellus (domestic guinea pig), 5990 nucleotides long. RefSeq lists it as uncharacterized. NCBI's taxonomy places the organism in Eukaryota, Metazoa, Chordata, Mammalia, Rodentia, Caviidae. The transcript has 3 exons. The record is from RefSeq and is a predicted model, not a curated record.
CCUAAUUCAGAUUUUGCUAAUUGUAUCAAAAAUACUUUGUAGCAAAACGAUAUCCAGAAUCAUAGAUUACAUUCAGUUGUUAUGUUUCCUUUGGUUCCAAUAACCUAUAGCAAUUCCUGAGUCUCUCCUUGUGUUUCAUGAAAUUGAUGCUCUUGAAGAGUAUAGAUGGGUUCUUGGAUAACACGUCCCAUAGUUUGUUGAUGUUGCAGUCAGAUUCAGGAAAUACAUUUUUGACAGAAUUAUCAUCAAAGCAACAUUGUACCCUUCUCAAUGCAUCAUAUUAAGAGGCACUUGGGUAUAUAUUAGUCCUAUCAGUAAGUGUUUGUUAAGUAUACCUGUCAGUCUCCUUUUACUUUAAAAUUACUCUAAUAUUAGUUUUAAUAUACUCCAUAAUAACCAAAUGUCCUAUGAGCAUGGCAUUUGUGAUUGUGAAAUCGUUGUAUUCUAUUUCUUAUCAAAUUUUCAUCACUGUAUUAGCAAUUGGUUAUUAUUGCCUGAACCAAUGAUAUAUAUUUGCAGCACUGGAGAAGAUGCUUGUGAAAAGUUAUAUCUAAGUUCAUUGUUCCUUCCAUAUUAUCUGAUUUCUACUGCAAGACAGAGAUUUUCUUCUCCUUUAUUUAUAUCCGUGUGGCCCCUGUGGAUCUUUACUGUGCUGUAAUCCUUUAUUUUAAAGUUCAUAUUGUCUCAAAUUUAUUAUUUUAAAGUUCAUAUUGUCUCAAAUUUAUGUUUUCUCUUCCAGUCAGUGAAUUCUGGAUCUGAAAACUUAGGUUUGGAAAUUGGAGGAAGAUUGUGGAUUUCUGUUGGGGAAGCUGAUCUCAAUCUUCUGCUCAUAAUAUAUUCUUGAUCUCCUUUAAUAAUAUUAAUUCAUACUUCCUUGACUGUUUAUUUUGCCUCUAAGAAUAUCAUGUUCUAUAGAUUCUUACAGGUCAGCCAACCUUGGGUACCACUUGGCUUUUCUCCCUAUGAUGGAAAUUACAACCACUUAGCUUCUGGCAGCUAAGUGCUAAUACUAGACUUCUGCUAUUUUGCAAUUCCAUGAUUCUCCUAGCUAAUAAUUUACUCACUACUGAAACAUCAUCCUCUACCCAUAGAGGACAUUUUACAGAAGAUAGCAAUUUCUGAGUGUUUCUGUAAUACCAGAAAAACUCCUUCACCAGUAGACUUCACAUUAUCUUAAUAACCAGUGACCACUGAGCUCUUCCUAGAAAGCUACUCAAUUAGUGAGUUUUAUGGUACAAAGGAUAAUAAUAAAUCCAUUUUAUCAGGCACAUUUCUCUGCGCCCUUGAACCUUCCUCCACGGCCUACUAUGGUAGUUCUGUUAUCUCUUCUUCACUUAAUAUGGGCCAUUAAACAUCCCAGGAUUCCAAGAAGCAUUCUAACAGCAGAUCAGGAAAAGCCUUUGUAAAUUUUCAAGGUGGCAGAGUUUGUCCAUUGGCUCCAUGUGGAUAACUUUCCUUUCUCCAGCUUUAUACUCUGCUUCCCUUGAUCUGGUACCCUUGAGGUUCAUGUGCACACAACUUCUCUCUUUUCUAUUGGCACACCUGUGCCAGCUCCAGCAGAGCUUUCAAUAUAUAACCCUUUUCAUACUUGAGAAGAUAUAAACUUCUCAAGUUGUACCAUGCAGAGUUUUGAUCAUAGUUCUUGCUCUAAGAGAAACAGGGUGUAGGAUUAGAUGCUGAGGAGGGUAACCACUCUCCUGUAAGGCAGCAGUCCCUACCUUUUUGGCAUGACAUUCAUUCUAUAGAAGGCAGUUUUUCCAUGGACUGGGGAAAGAGAAGAUGGUUUCAGGACAAUUCAAGUACAUUGCAUUUAUUGUGUACUUUAUUCUUAUUAUAUUAUAGUAUAUGAUGAAAUAAUUGUGCAACUCAUCACAAGCACGAUCAGUUGAGGCCCUGGCCUUGUUUUCUUGCAACCAAACAUUGCCCCCUGGGGAUGAUGUGAGUCAAUGACAUCUGAAGUAUGGCAUUUAGGGGUCCAACAUACUCCAUAAUCUAUUUUCUGGGUGGGGUCAAUACAGAAAACCCCAUUUCACAAAGGUCAGGUGUUGAAAAUAGAGGUAGGUUUCUCAGUGCUUUUCAUGACAAUCUCAGGAUAAUCUACCUCAACUUUAAUUCAGAACAUAAGGAGAUUUAAAGUUGCAUCAAACAUAUUUUGAAAGCCAUCAUCAUUUGUGAUUUCAAGCAGUUGAUCCCCUUCUGGCACAAAUUUGAUUUCCUGUGCUUAUUCACAGAUGGGUUGUGGAUUCAUUCCUCUCUAGUUCAGAUGUCUUCUGUGGUUGGGGUGUAACACUCAAAUUCUUUUGAAUGCUGAGAUAGGUGAUCAUGCACCAGCUGGGAGGGAGAAGGCCCUGAUUCAAUUUCAUUUAAAAUCUUUGCUAAUGUUUGAAACAUGUUAAAAAUCCCGAUGUUCAGCCUUCAGCCCCAUAAUUCCAUUUUAGCUAUGAAUGCAAAUACUUUAUGUGCCAACUUGAAUACAGUUUCCCUUCUUCCCUGAAGCAACAGAUUGAGUUUUUUGAUCAGGCCAACUAUGUCACAUGAGUAAGCAAGUUUUGUGACUUAUUCUGUAUUGCUGAAAUGUGCUGUCAGUGGUGACUGUUUUUGUAAAAGAAAUUUCUGGAGUGGCUCUUGUAAUGCAAAAACUCUGGCCAGUAAUCUGCAUUUAGAAAGAUAUCUCACUUCUGCAUGCAGGAUAUGUGUAUUCCAGGUCAACCUCCUUAUAGAGCUACACCAACAGAUACAAGUUAAGGAUAUACAGUUGAACAUGGUUGAUAAUUUAAAUCACAUCUUACUAAAUGUUAAGUUUGGGUGACAUUUUAGAGUUAGCCGGCAUUUCUCUAUGGAUGACAGUACAUAGACUCACGUUCAGAAGUGAUCUCUUUGACCCAAAUAGUGAAAUCAGAAAGUUGUCCCAUCAUGGUAGCUGCUACCUCCCUACAAAUAGAAUGACUGGAAAAAAUGAUCUAUUCAGUUUUCCUGAUAUGUAAUCAUUCAAAGAAUUAAAAAGUUCUGUAGCUAUGGUGUUGGUUGGCCCACAAGAGCCCAUAAAAUGUCCUCAUGCAUAUCCCUCUGAAAAAGAUAUUGUAAAACAACAAGAAGCAUUGUUGCCUUCUUGUCAACACUGACAUAGAAACCCAGAUUGCUAAUGUUAAUCUGCAUUUGCAGCUACUUCCCAGAAUUAGCAUCACCAUCUUGUCUUCCUAUUAUCAGAUAUUAGAGCCUCAUAAAGAGUGUGCAACUUAGAUCCCAUGCACAUACAGUUCAAAGUAGGGCCCACACUCCUGUGAGAAUCUAAUGCCACUUCUGAUCAGACAGAAAGCAGGGCUCAGGCAGUAAUGCAAGCAAGAGACAGUGGCUAUAAAUACAUGAUGAAACUUUAUUUGCUUACCCACUAUAUAGCCCAGUUCAGUACCUGUCCAUGGCCCCAGUGCUGGGAACUCACACUCUCAGGUAUCUGCCUACAUUGACGAGGGGUAACUUUUAUGGAAUCAAUGUACUCAGGGUAGUUUGAAGGACUAUUUGGGUAUGUCUGCCCAAAUAGUCUUAUCCUACUGCUUCCAUAUGAGGGCCCUGGAUUCAGAAGAGAGGACUUGCUGGCACUAAAGAUUUAUCUGUUGGGAUUUUGAUAAUAUUAAAAUUAAUUCAUGAUUUCAUCUUCAACGUGAACAGCCCUCUGGCUAUAAUGAAUCAGAGUUUCUUUAAUUAUAGUGGGAAGAUGAAGAUGAAGUGCUUUUGCACUUUGAUGACUGAUUAACUUGAGCUUAUUAUUUCUACCUUUUAAAGACGUAAUAGCAGCCACCACUUCCACAGUGCUUUCAGUAGGCAAUUCCAUCCCCUUCAUGUCUGCCUCAUACUUGAAUUAUUGCACAAGCCAACAUAUCUCCUCAACUUAUAUUAGAUAUAUGUCUGUUUUAGUCUAGAGCUGAAAUGUCCACCCAAAGCUUCAUGUGUUCAAAAGUUACAUUUUUGGAAGGUGAUUAGAUCCUGGGUGCUAUGCUUAUCUGUGGGUUGAUCCACUUAUGCGUUCACUGCUGAAUGUGCUUUUGAGAAGUGGAACCUGGUCAGAAGAGGUGGGUCACUGGGAAUGUGACAUGGAAGGGUAUAUUCUUAUCUUCCCAUUUAUUUCUGCUUCAUGGUGACCAUACAAUGAACCACAUUCCUCUGGUAUGCCUUUCUAUCAUGCUAUUUCUUCCUUGGAGCCAUGGACUGAAUCCUUUGAAACCAUGAGUCAGAAGAAGCCUUUUCUGCUUUAAAUUAUAAGUGUCAGGUGUAUUUUGUCCUGAAAACUGUGAAGUGACAAACAUACUUACCAAUCCCGGUGCCUAUAAAUGAAAUGUUUUUCACUUUAUUUUGGUAGUAAUUAAUAUACUUUAUUUUGUAUAGCCUUUUUGAGACAAGGUUACACUCUGCAGUUCAGGCUGCUCUUGGACUCACUUUGUAGCCCAGUCUGGUCUUGAAUUUGCAAUGAUCCUCUUGCUUUAGCCUCCCAAAUGCUGGGAUGCACAGUUAUAUUUAAAGAAUAAUUGAGCAUAUAGUAUAUUAACUUCUAUAUACCUAUCUAUUUUGUUCUUGCCCCACCUCAGGUCUUCAACUACCUCAAUAUUUUAUAUGGACAUUUGGGACAAUUAUUUAACUAAUAUUGAUAAAAUAUCCUGAAUAUACGCUAUAGUUUACAUUAAGGUUCACCUACAGUAAGUAUGCUGUGCUAUGGGUUUUGGCAAGGACCCAGAAUCUUUUUUUUUUCCAAUUUGCCAUCUUAAGCUUUUAAUUUUUAAUUGUUUUAAAUUUUAAAUUUUUAAAAAGCAAAACAGAAAAAAGGGUAGAAAUAAUACAGAAUUUCAAAAAAAUAACAGAAAUCAACACUAGUUAAUACAUUUUAUACUGUAAUCAUAGAUGUAGUUGUUCAAAUUACAUAUAUAUUUUUUAUCCCAAGCUUUUUUGAAGUGCACAGUUUAGUAGUGCUUCAUAGUAUGUUCCUGGGUGUGAAACAGAUCUCUAGAUCUUUUUUUUUUUUUUGGCAAGGCCUUCCUGUGUAGUUCCUGUUGGUCCUGAACUCUCUGUGCAGUCCAGCCUGAACUCGAACCUGGCAGUGAUCCUCUUGUCUCAAGCUUUGGAGUACUGUGAUUAAAGGGGGCCAGGAUUCCAUGUAUGUUGAACAGGAGUGGCAAGAAUAGGAAUCCUUUCAUUGUUCCUGACUUUACAGAAAAGGUUUUCAGUAUUUCACCACUGAGUAUCAUUCUAUGUCUGGUCUUUUCACAGGUCGAUGUAGGCUCCCUGCCAACUCAGCUCUCUGUUCAGCUCGCUGACCCUCGAACUCAAUGUAACUGCGCCUCCAGUGAGUUGAAGUGGUGGGACCUCGGACGGCUUGGCAAGUUGUGGCGGGACCCAAGUCAACCACAGUGGAACCUCGGCAAGUUGUGGCAGGACCCCAGCAAGUCACAGCGUUGGCCAGUUGCAGCGGGACCUUGGAUGGUCAGCAAAGUCACCUUAAUUUCUUCUUGGGAUGAGAGAAUUCAUCUCCCUCUGUUUGGGGCUCCCCACUCUGCAUUAUGUUGAAUUCUAAGUUGACUGUCUCCUGUCGCGUUUGUUGAUUAAUUCCUUGAAUAUCCAUUCUGUGAACUGUCACAUGAAUUCAUCUCUCCUUAAUAAUUUUCAAAUUCUUGAUCAAAUAAAUCUGACUAAUAAUGUUCCUAAGAAGACACCUUUUUUUAUUCCUUUCCUGCAUAUUUCAAAGAAAUAUCUUCCAAGAUCUAUGUGUCAUUUCCCAACACCUUCAAAGUGUAAUUCCUCACCAUAUUUCCCUCAAUUCCCCCAUCACGGCAAGGCUCGCUGUAUUAAGAAUCAGUGUAUUCUCCAGCUCCUCUGGGAUCAUAGACGUGAUCCCAACAUGAAUUGCAAUAACAACUCUUCUGUUACUCUCCAGCCUCAGAGAGUGGAACACCCAGAAAAAAAACCAGAUCCAUCGCAUAACAUCAACCACACUCCACUGCUUU